GAACCCCCCCACCUGUCCUCACCUCACAAUGGUAGCUGCAGAGCGGGAGGGGGGUGGCCGCCCGAGCCUCAUUACCAUAAUCUGCCUGGCAACAAGCCGCGGCGUCUCGCGCUGAUUGGCUGAAACUCCUCCGCCAGCCACGAUGGGGCACAGAAUUCCCCAAGGAAAGCCUUCCGAGUUGACAAAGAAUUGGCAAAUAGGCCUGUCACCCAGCUGUAUUUUCAAUGGCUUCUCUACCACAACUGUGGGGCUCAGCUUAUUUAAGUUGAAUGGUUUGGUUGCCUUGGUUAAUGAACGACUGAUUCUGCCAUCUUCAGAGGUUAAACAUCGCUUCAGUCUUCACAGGUGGACUAGAAAAGAUCAAGGAGACAGGAUGCCAUUUCAGAAAGAUAUGUCUCACAAGCAAGAGGAUGAGAGUUCACUAAAUACCUUCUGCAAAGCAGCCUCUCUUUCCUCUCUCCCCACUGCGUCUUCACUGUGACUUUACUUGUAGACCUCUAGACCCUCCAUCUUUUGAGUACUCUGUGUCAGGUUCAAUGUUUGUGUUCAGAUACUUGGAGAAGCAUCAGGCAUUGCUCUGCCUUGAGAUCCUACCAGUGCUCAAAGCCUCAGAUCCAUCUGGAGAAAGAAAAUGAGCAGCGUAAAUUCCCAGUUCAUGUAUUAGCGAAAAGGGUGGUUCGUCUCUGCUAUUUCUGCAUUUGGGAUCCUCAGUCUGAGUGUGGGCUCAUUACUCUAUUGAAUUAUAUAUCAGAAGUAAUUUCUUUUCCUGGGAAGUGAAUCCUACAUACGUGCAAAUCUAUUCCAAAACGGAUUCUUUGUGUCUCUCAGAUGUUGCUUUUGCCUUGGAUAGUCUUCAGAAAAAAAACAACUGUCCGAUUAAGUUCACCAUUGGCUUUGCGUCCCAUCUAGAAAUGAGACAAGAUCAUAGACUUAGCACAUUUUCUGGAUGCUGAGAUUCAUAUGCAGUGUGUUGAAGGAGCAGCAGCUUUCCUUAGCAGCCACUCUCUUGUGCUGCCCUUAAGCAUCCUGUAAUGAUGCAGUUUUCAUUUUCCAAUGCAAUUGAACUGUGCUGGUGCUUCAGCAAAACCAUAAAAUCUUCAAACCUAACAGAAUGGUUAUUUUGAAGUUUUCAGUUAUAGGAGUAUUAAUGCCAGGCUUGUUUCCUUAACAGUCUGUUACAUGCUGUAGGCAAGGAUUGUGCUGUUUGAGGUGAACACAGCACAAACUGCUGUGCAGAUCUGCCCACUUCAGACAUCUCAGUGGAAGCCAGAUGAAUGACACUGUUUCAGGCAUGGACCAGAGCAGUGGGAAAAUGGCCAUCAAGAGUUAAGAGUUUAUUAGCAUAAUGAAGGGUAGAUUUUCUCCCUUCCCUGCCAAUCUCUCAAAGAGGAUUCUCUGAGCAGAAACAAAGGCUUGCUGUCCACCACCAUUUACUGUGUCACUUAUUUUCACAGAUUUCUGUGCUGUUUUUUCAUGUCUGCAGUUAUUCCAUUUAUCCCUGUUUUUAUGGUAUGACCUCAGUUGCAAUGCAUCUGUUCUUAGUUAUUCUCCAUCCUUUCACUCUUCUAAACUUCUCUGUAUUCCCCUAGAAAUAACCUUUUGUUUUUAAGCUCCUGUCUGCUUCUCAAGGUUUCUGCAUUUUUUUUUACUGUCUUUCUAUGGAGCAGCUUUGUUCUCACUGUAUAUCUUAAGCCUAGUUUCUUCAGCAGUUCCCUUCAGUCACUGCUGCUGGACUUCCUACAUCUUGUCCCCAGUGUGUCAUUUUGAGUCACAGAUAGAAGGCUGAGCUGCAAGGCUGCAGGAACCCUGGACUUCCACAAAGAAGUGCUGUAGCCAAAUACAGAUAUCCAAUUCCAGACCAGGUUGGCAACCUUGUGAUGUUAUUUAUGAGUCUGGAGAAAUAUUAUGUCCCACAGGAUUUAAAUAGCUGGAUGUUGGAUCAAGUUUGAGUUGGCUAAUAACAAUUUUGCAUCGCUUUCUGCCCCUUACACAGCCUUGAUGAUAGGUAGAGGUCUUGUCUGAAGGGCAGAAUGGCUCCAGAUGAGUUGGGGCAGUUAGAUAGGCAUCAUUUGUGCACUAUAUUUUUCCUAGAAGCACUGCUUAGUAUUUCUUAUAUUGCUGAAUUUUGUUUAGUAUAAUUAUGAUACUUCAAUAAUAAGCAAUAGGGAGUUCUUUACUUAAUCCUACCACAUUCUUUAGUUGUUUCUAACUUCAGUUUGCAUCCUACCUCCUAAAACCCAGAUUGACUCAAUUCUACCUCAGCAAGCUCUACCUUGCACAUACCUGUCACGCAGAACUAGUACAAAUGACAUGAUCCCCCAUUUAAAUCUUCAAUCAAGUUUAGCUGUAUAGGAUUAAAAUUCACUGGCUAGACUAAUUUUACACUUUAAUUUCAGGAAUUUAAGAGAAUGCUGGGAAUCUUCAAAGAUUUCUUAAUUUCUCCUGAACUCAUUCUCUGGGUACUGAAAGAAUCUCAAUGCAUCAGUUUGCUAAAGUUGCUGCUUUAAUGAGAGACUUUAAUGGUACCAGGUGCAUUCCUUGAUGACUUCUGUUUGCUCUUUUUGUCAUGAAUUUAACAUUACUCUUUCAGUGCACAUUUUUGCAAUCAUAAAAAUGAGCUUUAUGUUUACACAAUGACAGUCUUGCAAGUGAAAAGGAACAUAGAUGUUCACUUGAAACAUUUCUUACAGAAUAAACAUUGGCAACCAAAAGUGAGGAUGAGAUUCUCAGUGCUUCAUUAGCACAGAUGUCCUGGAAAAGGGCACUAAAGAGCUCCAGAACUUGGGUAAGAUGGGAUUCUUGGAAGUAAAUGUAAGCUGUUGCCUACCUAACAGGUUUAACAGCAGGAGAGGUGUCUUAGGGAAUGCUGCAGCCUUGCAGCAUUGAUUCAAAUUGGUGCUGUUGUCACAGGCAACAGACAAGUACCAGUGCUCACCCGAAACAGACCUGUGCACUGAAUUAAUCGUGGCCAUUGUGUCACCAUGCUUGCAGUGACCUGUGUGGACAGGUGGCUGAAAAAAAUUAAUCCUGAAAGCCUUUGGGUUGUUUCCAUUAGAUGGAAUUCCAUUUACAUCUUGCUGCAGGCUCUUAUCUCAAUUUCUGUCCCUGCCAUCCUGCAGUCAUAUGAAUUUAGUUGCAUGUAGAGCUCCUGAUCAUCACCAAGGAAUGACCAAGGUCUGGGAGAUAAAACCUUUUUUUCUGGGGACUUGUUGUCCUAGUAGGACUGAUCUCUGUAUGAAGGGAAAUGUGUAAUUCUUCAGACUUUGAUUUAUCACUCGCUUUUUAGGUAGUGAACUGAGCACUGAUGGCCUUGCUUGAAGAGAAAUAUCCUGUGUUGCAGCCUCGCUGCAGGACCUCAGUUCUUACACCCUGGUGUUUCUACAGGGCAGGACUAAGAGCAGGUGAGAAUGCAGCUAAGGUUGUACCUCAUACCUAUCAGAGAGACUUCCCCAAGAGUCACCAGAUUUAAAGUUUUUCAGAAAAACAAGGAUCACACUGUUGGAGUCAGUGCUGUGAACAUAAAUUCUCACCAAGCACUGUGUAAAUAUUAAAAGUAAAUUAAUUUAUGUAGCACUUUAAAUACUAUAUAAAUUCAACCUCAAGUCAAAGUCCCAUCCCAAAGAUUUAUAAAGAACUUGUACAUUUUGGACUGGGGAAGAAAAAGAAAUCCCUCCUUUUUAAGUAAAGGGAAAAGCCUAACUCAGAAUGUCUUGUUAUUUACUCCUGUAUUCAUAUUGCACAGUAAAACACAUUAAAAUGUGUCAGUUUUCAAAAGCAA
Long non-coding RNA from Passer domesticus (house sparrow), 3778 nucleotides. RefSeq lists it as uncharacterized. The transcript is spliced from 3 exons. Lineage: Eukaryota; Metazoa; Chordata; Aves; Passeriformes; Passeridae. The record is from RefSeq and is a predicted model, not a curated record.